GACGAACGCUGGCGGCGUGCCUAAUACAUGCAAGUAGAACGCACAGUUUAUACCGUAGCUUGCUACACCAUAGACUGUGAGUUGCGAACGGGUGAGUAACGCGUAGGUAACCUGCCUGGUAGCGGGGGAUAACUAUUGGAAACGAUAGCUAAUACCGCAUAAUAUUAAUUAUUGCAUGAUAAUUAAUUGAAAGGUGCAAUUGCACCACUACCAGAUGGACCUGCGUUGUAUUAGCUAGUAGGUGAGGUAACGGCUCACCUAGGCGACGAUACGUAGCCGACCUGAGAGGGUGAUCGGCCACACUGGGACUGAGACACGGCCCAGACUCCUACGGGAGGCAGCAGUAGGGAAUCUUCGGCAAUGGACGAAAGUCUGACCGAGCAACGCCGCGUGAGUGAAGAAGGUUUUCGGAUCGUAAAGCUCUGUUGUAAGAGAAGAACGGGUGUGAGAGUGGAAAGUUCACACUGU
Molecule: ribosomal RNA, 468 nt
Filed under: Streptococcus gordonii
Lineage: Bacteria; Bacillati; Bacillota; Bacilli; Lactobacillales; Streptococcaceae
Description: bacterial SSU rRNA
Rfam family: Bacterial small subunit ribosomal RNA
Source: RNAcentral